CCUACGGGGGGCAGCAGUGGGGAAUAUUGGACAAUGGGCGAAAGCCUGAUCCAGCCAUGCCGCGUGUGUGAAGAAGGCCUUCGGGUUGUAAAGCACUUUCAGUGGGGAAGAAAGCCUUGGGGCUAAUACCCUCGAGGAAGGACAUCACCCACAGAAGAAGCACCGGCUAACUCCGUGCCAGCAACCGCGGUAAUACGGAGGGUGCGAGCGUUAAUCGGAAUUACUGGGCGUAAAGCGCGCGUAGGCGGUCUGAUAAGCCGGUUGUGAAAGCCCCGGGCUCAACCUGGGAACGGCAUCCGGAACUGUCAGGCUAGAGUGCAGGAGAGGAAGGUAGAAUUCCCGGUGUAGCGGUGAAAUGCGUAGAGAUCGGGAGGAAUACCAGUGGCGAAGGCGGCCUUCUGGACUGACACUGACGCUGAGGUGCGAAAGCGUGGGUAGCAAACAGGAUUAGAUACCCGUGUAGUC
RNAcentral lists this ribosomal RNA (465 nucleotides) under Vreelandella stevensii. Its description in RNAcentral is "partial 16S ribosomal RNA". It matches the Rfam family "Bacterial small subunit ribosomal RNA", at positions 338 to 795 of the family's 1533-position model. Lineage: Bacteria; Pseudomonadati; Pseudomonadota; Gammaproteobacteria; Oceanospirillales; Halomonadaceae. The record is from RNAcentral.